This is an RNA transcript of Enhydra lutris kenyoni (northern sea otter), 985 nucleotides long. It is a transcript of the gene named T-cell receptor gamma chain C region C10.5-like, with no coding region annotated. Lineage: Eukaryota; Metazoa; Chordata; Mammalia; Carnivora; Mustelidae. The record is from RefSeq and is a predicted model, not a curated record. The transcript is spliced from 7 exons.
AUGCUGGCUAAAAAGACAAAGAUGAACUCAAUCUUACGGUGUAGUAUUUGGGUGGUAACAAGAGUCAUCCUGGUGGCCUCCCUGUGGAGUUAUACAAAUGCGUGUAUUUUAAUAACACAACUCAUGUCAUCCAUUAUCAAGAAACAAGGAAACACACCAUUUUUAGAAUGCCAUAUUAAAAAUGGGUGUCUUAAAGAAGAAUGUUUAUAACCCUAGCUCCAACAGAAACCACACCAACCUCUUAAAUCCAUUCUGCAUUCUGUAUAUUCCUGCAAAUGAAAAUGUGGUCCAUGAGCAAGGUGUUAGUGAGGAAAGAUUUGAAGCCAGGAAACAACAGAGGGAUUUACCAGUGAGUCUCAGGAUACAUGGAGUUAAUGAAGCAGAUACUGGGCUGGAUUACUGUGUUUGUUGGGAUGAUAACUCAGGCUGGAUCAAGAUAUUUGCACAAGGGACUAAGCUCAUAGUAACUCCCCCAGACAAAAGCCUUGAUGCAGACAUAUUCCCCAAGCCCAUAAUUUUUUUCCCUUCACUUGCUGAAAUAAAAUUCCACAUGUCCGGUACAUAUAUUUGUCUUCUUGAGAAUUUUUUCCCCGAAGUUAUCAAGAUACAUUGGAAAGAAAAGGAUGGCAAAACAAUUCUGAAAUCCCAGCAGGGAGACACCAUGAAGAUUAAGGACACAUACAUGAAAUUCAGCUGGCUGACCGUGGCUAGAGAGUCAUUGGCUAAAGAACAAAAAUGUAUCAUCGCACACGAGAGUAAUAAAGGAGGGAUUGAUGAAGAGAUUGUUUUUCGUUCAAUGAAAAAAGAGCUCACUGCUAUUGAUUCUACAAAAAUUGAAGAUGCCACCCUGCAGCAACAGCUCAAGACCACCUCUGCCUGCUACACCUACCUCCUCCUCUACUUCAAGAGCCUGAUCUACUCCACCAUCAUCACCAUCUAUCUGUUUGGGAGACCAGCACUCCGUGGCAAUGGGAAGAGUUCCUAG